This 253-nucleotide ribosomal RNA is filed under the name uncultured bacterium. RNAcentral's name for it is "partial 16S ribosomal RNA". It matches the Rfam family "Bacterial small subunit ribosomal RNA", at positions 524 to 776 of the family's 1533-position model. The record is from RNAcentral.
UACGUAGGGAGCAAGCGUUGUUCGGAUUUACUGGGCGUAAAGGGCGCGUAGGCGGCAACUCAAGUCAUCUGUGAAAUCUCCGGGCUUAACUCGGAACGGUCAGAUGAUACUGUUUUGCUAGAGUGCAGAAGGGGCAAUCGGAAUUCUUGGUGUAGCGGUGAAAUGCGUAGAUAUCAAGAGGAACACCAGAGGUGAAGACGGGUUGCUGGGCUGACACUGACGCUGAGGCGCGAAAGCCAGGGGAGCAAACGGG